Molecule: ribosomal RNA, 253 nt
Filed under: uncultured bacterium
Lineage: Bacteria
Description: partial 16S ribosomal RNA
Rfam family: Bacterial small subunit ribosomal RNA
Source: RNAcentral
UACGUAGGGUGCAAGCGUUGUCCGGAAUUAUUGGGCGUAAAGAGCUCGUAGGCGGUCUGUCGCGUCUGCUGUGAAAACCCAGGGCUUAACCCUGGGCUGGCUUCCGAUACGGGCAGACUAGAGGUAUGCAGGGGAGAACGGAAUUCCUGGUGUAGCGGUGAAAUGCGCAGAUAUCAGGAGGAACACCGGUGGCGAAGGCGGUUCUCUGGGCAUUACCUGACGCUGAGGAGCGAAAGUGUGGGGAGCGAACAGG